UUAAAAAGCUCGUAGUUGGAUUUCGGUUGAGAACGGCCGGUCCGCCGUUUGGUGUGCACUGGCUGGUUUCAACUUCCUGUAGAGGACGCGCUCUGGCUUCACGGCUGGACGCGGAGUCUACGUGGUUACUUUGAAAAAAUUAGAGUGUUCAAAGCGGGCUUACGCUUGAAUAUUUCAGCAUGGAAUAACACUAUAGGACUCCUGUCCUAUUUCGUUGGUCUCGGGACGGGAGUAAUGAUUAAGAGGAACAGUUGGGGGCAUUCGUAUUUCAUUGUCAGAGGUGAAAUUCUUGGAUUUAUGAAAGACGAACUUCUGCGAAAGCAUUUGCCAAGGAUGUUUUCAUUAAUCAAGAACGAAAGUUGGGGGCUCGAAGAUGAUUAGAUACCAUCCUAGUCUCAACCAUAAACGAUGCCGACUAGGGAUUGCAGGAUGUUAAUUGAUGACUCCUGCAGCUCCUUAUGAGAAAUCAAAGUUUUUGGGUUCCGGGGGGAGCAUGGUCGCAAGGCUGAAACUUAAAGGAAUUGAC
RNAcentral lists this ribosomal RNA (526 nucleotides) under uncultured marine eukaryote. RNAcentral's name for it is "SSU rRNA". It matches the Rfam family "Eukaryotic small subunit ribosomal RNA", at positions 619 to 1157 of the family's 1831-position model. The record is from RNAcentral.